AGGCUUUGUUAAUUGAUAAAAUUUCCGUAUAGUAUGAAUGCUGACUUGUCAGCUAUAGUGAUAAACGGAUCGUGGAAUAAGCGUAGUGGACCCGGGGGCGGUACCCGGCGCCUCCACCAACAGGAAAAUUGAAUUGCGAAUGAGGGGGCGAAAUAGGAUCGACACGCGUUGUAAAGACGUUACUUUCACUCGGCAUGGUACCACCGUUAUCGGGCUAUUAGAGUAGUUGCAAAUGACAACUAUGCGGAGGCACGCCUCGCUGCGUAAGCGGUCAGGUAGCCUUACUUAAGUCCAUAGGGUUCGCACCGUAUGGCGGGGUUCGGGGUGCACCUGGCAACAGAAGCACCUCAUA
RNAcentral lists this transfer-messenger RNA (352 nucleotides) under Alphaproteobacteria bacterium. It matches the Rfam family "Alphaproteobacteria transfer-messenger RNA". From Rfam's summary of the family: Bacterial tmRNA, also known as 10Sa RNA or SsrA, is named for its dual tRNA and mRNA-like properties. The record is from RNAcentral. Lineage: Bacteria; Pseudomonadati; Pseudomonadota; Alphaproteobacteria.